RNAcentral lists this unclassified non-coding RNA (253 nucleotides) under uncultured Halomonadaceae bacterium. Its description in RNAcentral is "contains 16S-23S intergenic spacer region". It matches the Rfam family "Bacterial small subunit ribosomal RNA", at positions 524 to 776 of the family's 1533-position model. The record is from RNAcentral. Lineage: Bacteria; Pseudomonadati; Pseudomonadota; Gammaproteobacteria; Oceanospirillales; Halomonadaceae.
UACGGAGGGUGCAAGCGUUAAUCGUAAUUACUGGGCGUAAAGCGCACGCAGGCGGCCAAGUAAGCCGGUGGUGAAAGCCCCGGGCUCAACCUGGGAAUGGCAUCCGGAACUGUUUGGCUAGAGUGCAGAAGAGGAAGGUAGAAUUCCCGGUGUAGCGGUGAAAUGCGUAGAAAUCGGGAGGAAUACCAGUGGCGAAGGCGGCCUUCUGGACUGACACUGACACUGAGGUGCGAAAGCGUGGGUAGCAAACAGG